GAUCCUGGCUCAGAUUGAACGCUGGCGGCAGGCUUAACACAUGCAAGUCGAGCGGGGUGAGGUGCUUCGGUACUGAUCCUAGCGGCGGACGGGUGAGUAAUGCUUAGGAAUCUGCCAUUUAGUGGGGGACAACAUUCCGAAAGGGAUGCUAAUACCGCAUACGUCUUACGGGAGAAAGCAGGGGAUCUUCGGACCUUGCGCUAAAUGAUGAGCCUAAGUCGGAUUAGCUAGUUGGUGGGUAAA
RNAcentral lists this ribosomal RNA (243 nucleotides) under uncultured bacterium. Its description in RNAcentral is "partial 16S ribosomal RNA". It matches the Rfam family "Bacterial small subunit ribosomal RNA", at positions 15 to 260 of the family's 1533-position model. The record is from RNAcentral.